GACAACACUGAUUGACAUACUGAUGUUUUAGGACCCACCUAAUAAAAGAAAUGCAACAACUUAAAGUCAAAUACUCAAACAUCUAAGAAGUUAUAUUGUUUCAUGUCAUUUUGAUUAUCAACACAAAUUAUAAUAAGGGUAUUCCUAGUUCAAAAGCUAGGAUAAACAAAGCACACAAGUAACAUGUUGUUUGGAAUCAAUUCUCUAUUGUAAUUGAAUUCAAUUAUAAUGUUUAAUUGAAUUCAAUUGCUAAAUACAAUUCUCCUUAACUAACCCUUUUAUUCUAGCAUGAGAGACACGCAACUCGUGCGCAUAUAAUUGAUUAAUGGAACAUUGUGGAUUGAAAGUAAAACGGUGUGCUUUGAUAAUGGCUACAAUUACUUGAAACAUAGCCUUCUCAUUUAGUUCAAUUUGUGCAUGUAACAGGUAUCCAUUUGAACUCGACCUUAUCCUUAAAGGAGAAAUUUGAAAACCUAUAUUGAAUUUCAUCAGUAUGCUCUUAGGUUGCUUCUGACAGGGAAAGACUUUUCCAGUUUACUAGAAUUUAUUGGUUGUCUGGUUACCCUUCUUCACCAUCCUUUUGUCCAAGAUUGCCUAUGGAACUACCUUGGAAGCUAGAGGAAUAUUUGGCAAUAUCACCUGCAUUACCAUGUUUCCAAUGUGUUUCUUUAACUAGGACACGUGGAAGACUAGGUAGAUAGAAGUAGAUGUAGGCAAUAGUAGCUUAGAAGCAACAGAGCCAACCUUCUUUAAAAUCAAGUUUGGUCCAUAGAAUUUUGAAGGUAGUUUUUUGAAGUUCUUUGUGCCACUAAUUUUUGACGAUAGGGUUGUAGUUUAAGAUAAACUAAGUCCCCUGGAUUGAACUGUCUUUCACUGCGUUUUCAAUUGGCUAGUAGUACCAUUCUUUGUUGAGCUUGUAUCAAGUUGUCUCUCAUUUUAGCAAGCAUUUCUUCCUUCUGUAUAAGCAAUUGAUCUACAGCCUCCACAGUUGAAUCUUUCAGAGAGUAGGGAAUAUGUAGAGAAGAGGGGAAACCAUAGAAUAUCUCAUAAGGGGUAGACUUAGUAGUUGUGUAGUAAUUAAUCUUGCCCUUAAAUCAACCUUUGAAAACACAGUAGCUCCUACUAGUUCUUUCAGCAGCUCUUCUACUAUAGGAAUAGAGAACUUGUCCUUUACCGUCAUUUUGUUAAGAACCCUGUAAUCCACAUAUAACCUCUAAAUGUCAUCUUUCUUGUUUUUACCAAGACCACUGGUGAGGCAAAUGGAUUGGUAUUGUAUUGUACAAUGUCAAAAUCUAACAUCUUUGUCACUAUGUUCUCUACUACAUCUUUUUGUAAACUAGAGUUUCUAUAAGGCCUCAAGUUGAUUGGUUGUGAUGCCUCUUUGAGGGGAAUAACAUGGUCAUGUGUCCUAAAAGGUGGUAGCCCAAUAGGUUCCUCGAAAAUAUCUUGUUAAGAAGUCAACAGAUCUUCUAUAGCUGAAUUACUGGUCAUAGAGUUUACGAUGUGAUCACCCCUUUCCAUUAAUCUUAGGCUGCACAAACUAACCUCCACUAGUUGAGUUGGAUUGUCAAUCAAACUAUUGAAUUGCUCAAAUCUAAUAGUUUGUAGCUCUGCAACAAUACUUAUUGCCCUUGUCAUACAAAAGACAUCCAUAAUUCAUUGUAAUUGGAUAGGAUGUUACCCAAUGUAUCCAACCACUAUACUCCUAACACCAUGUCACAGUUGUUAAGUUCCACCACAAACACAUCGGUUGAGAACUUAACUCUUUGCAUUCUCCACAUAAAUCCUUUGCAUGCAUGGCCUCAAGUCAUUUUACUACCAUUUGUUGCUUCUAUUGCCACAGGUCUAAUAGGAGUGAGGGUAUAAUUCAAUUUAUUGGUCAUUUGAGUGUUGAUAAAAUUAUGUAUGUUGUCUAAGUCAACCAUGAUAAAGAGUUGAGACUUGUCAACUUUUCUAGUCACUUUUAGUGUCUGAAAACCUGAAGUACCCUCCAAGGCAUUGAUGGAUAUUUGGGGUUGAAAAUAUCAAAGUUAAUCUCACUGGUUUCUUGGACUUCCUCUUCUGCAUUAUCCUUAUCUUCCAGAAUGUACAAUGAAUACAACCUCUUGUUUUUGCAUCAAUGUCCUAGUAUAAAUUUUUCAUCACACCAAAAACAUAGUCCCUUCACCCUCCUCUCAUUCAGUUCCUUGUUUCUAAUGGCUUUUAUGGGUUUGUAAGGGGUUUUAACAUGGUAUCAGUGGUUGGAAUUUUCGGGUGGAAGGAAACUAGUUUUGAAGUGUUGUUAUUGUGAAAAAUUGUGGUUUUAGUGAUAUUUUAGGAAAGGGAGGGUUUUUGUUGGUUGACAAUACUUGUAAACUGGUGGGUGUUCUUUGAGAAGGAUUGAUGGAGGUGUUUGUGGUUGAUGGUUUUACUUGUAGUCUAGCUAAGUUAUAAGCUUGGUAUAAGGUUUUUAGUUCAAACCUUUUGACCAUGUUCUUAAUCUCAACUUCUAAUCCCCCAAUAAAAAACACUAGAGCAUGCCUCUCGGUCAUCUCUGCCUUAUUUCAGAGUAUGUCAAGUUCUUGUUUAUUAGUGUCAUUUGCUUAAGAUCUUUCCAUUCUUAUAGAGGAUCCUUUUAGCCCCUAAAUCGGCAGAAUAGUGCCUCAAUAUAUUCAUCCUAUAGGACCUCAAGAUGGUUAUUAAUAAAAUUCUAAUGUCAAUAUAAGGCUCUCCCAUCCGUGUAAUAGGAUGUUUGUUUGUGUUUUUCAAAGUCAUUCAUUUCUACAAUUUCAAAAUACUAGUUACAUCUGAAUAACCAUUUAUGGAUAUCGUCCCCAUUAAAACUAGGAAAGUCACGUUUGGGUUUGUAUACCUAAUGAAGUUGUUGACCUUCUUCCUUUGCCCAGCAACCUUUAGUAGCACCAUUGGAGCACCCUAGCUGCUCUCAGCUUCUACAUGAAGGUACUUUACUGGAAAGUUAACCCACUUAUCAAGUCGUUGAUGUCACCAAACUUAGCCUUAUGGCUAUUCAAUUUCUGACCAUACCCUUCCAAUAACUUUGUUACUUGUUCAUACUUCGUUGCUUGCUCCUUGUUGGCAGACACAAGGGAGUCUUCCAAGCGCCUCAGAUCCUGUGCUCUAGUGUCUGGAGCCAUGGCAUGUGUCCAAGGUUCGAAGGCUCUGAUACCAACUGGUACAAGAAGUAUUUUCAAAGAACCCAUCUGGAUUGAAUCCAGUAGUUUGGACAGAUGAUAAUCACAAAAUGAAAAAAGGAAAAGAAACAGUAAGGGGGAGUUGGCAAUGAAAAUGGUCUCUCGUCAUGCAUUCAUCAUGUUUUUGUAUAUCCCUAUUCUGUUACAUCAUGCUAUAUAUAUAGCAUUUCUUCCAAACUAUUCUCCUUAACUAACCCUUUUAUUCUAGCAUGAGAGAUGCAAUUUGUGUGCAUACAAUUGAUUAAUAGAACGGUGCGAAUUGAAAGUAAAAUGGUGUGCUUUGAUAACGGCCACAAUUACUUGAAACCUAGCCUUUUCCUUUAGUUCAAUUUGUGCAUGUAACAAUAAAGCAGUUGUAGGUGAUGAGGGCUAUUGUUUUUUCAGCAACAAACAAAAUAAACAAAAAGUCAAAGACCUAAAUGAUUCAAUAAAAUAUAAAUAAAAAAUAAAAACAGGGUUUAAUGGUGAAGAGCUUAGGACCUCCUCCUCCUUCUUCUUAAAAAUUGAAAACAAUACAAUUUACUUAAUUUUUUUUAUUGGGGUACCUUAUUCUUUUUAUUCUUAUGCCAAAAGGUCACCCAUGCCUUUUCUUUAUUUUUUUAUUUUAUGAUUGCUUGUAAUAAUAAUGAUUUUUGUCAAAUUAAUUAAUACUUGAAAUCUUGGUUUAGACUAUAAAAGAUCAAAAUUCCAACCAUGGAUGGGAAAAUUAACCAUUCCAAAGAAAAUAAAACUCUAUCCAAUGGAUGCAGACAACAAGUGAAGAAUUUUAUAAUGUUCAAAGAAUAACUAGUGAUAUCCUAUUAAUUAUUCUCAAGACUCAUCUUAAAAAAAAAUAGACAAAAAGAAAAGAGAAGAUGAGACACAUGACCCAUUUUAAAAUGUACUCCGAAGAAAAAAAACAUAAAAAGAAAAGAAAAUAUCACACUAAAAGUGAUAAGAAUAUUUUUACUUAAAAUUUCUCUCUUCUAAUUAUAUCUAUUUUUUAAAAUUAGACUUAAAAAAUAACUAACAAAACGGUCCCUAAUUAUUCCCUGAGCACCAUAAAUUUUUAUUAAUAAAAAAAAUCAUAUCCCAAAUUAACUUGAAAAUAACCUCAUUUAAAAACAAAACAAAAAAUUGUCAAAUUAUAGGCUUCCUUGGUUGAGUUCAUUUGUCUUGAAUUUGAUUCCCUUGUUUACCUUCGAAAGGAAAAACCCAAUUUGGGUCUCAGCACCAAGUUGUCGAAUCAUCCAGAUGCUGCUGUCACACAGCAAGUUGGAGAAAUUGAAGAAACGUUUCAGAAGAACCUUUCAAAAGAGAGCAGCGGUUCAGAUGAGGUAGAUAUCGAUCCAACAUUCAAAAAGUAGA
Molecule: long non-coding RNA, 4538 nt
Filed under: Populus trichocarpa (black cottonwood)
Lineage: Eukaryota; Viridiplantae; Streptophyta; Magnoliopsida; Malpighiales; Salicaceae
Description: long non-coding RNA (PTRI_LNC000868)
Source: RNAcentral